Molecule: long non-coding RNA, 422 nt
Organism: Miniopterus natalensis
Lineage: Eukaryota; Metazoa; Chordata; Mammalia; Chiroptera; Miniopteridae
Source: RefSeq, a predicted model, not a curated record
CCGCGCCGCGGGAGCCGGGGCAACGCGGGCUCUCCUCUCCCCGCCUUUCAGUGCCGGCCCCGGGGCUCGUGCGCCCCCUCCCCCGCCGCUGCGCUGCGGGGACCAGCGCGCUCCCCAGAGGUCCAGGGGGACCACAGGCAGCGGGGCUCGCCUGAACGAAAGCUGAGGAGAUUUCCCCCCUUAAGCUUGAACAAAACAGAUGAAAGCCAACUGCCUUCCAAUUUUCCUGCUGGCUUCCUCCGUCUCCCCCUCACACAUCGCCCUGAUCACUGAUGUAUUCAAAUCAGAAAAUGAAAAGCAUGCUAUAAAAAUGUGUGGCAGUGUGAAUGGAAAUGAACUGAUAUAAGAUGUGGAAGAGCCUGGCCAGCGUGGCUGAGUGGUUGAGUAUCUACCUAUGAACCAGGAGGUCACGGUUCAAUUCC